GUAAUGGGGACUCCCCUCCACCACAGUAGUGUGCAGGAGGAGUGUGUGUAUAAGCUGUUUCCUCAGUGCAGUAGUGCUUGAAACAGUCACAUCCUGGUUGUGGUUACCUGCAGUUUCUCUCGCUGGCUGUUGUCGGCUCCUCUCCUCCCCCCCCGGAGUUCAGUGCGGUUGCGAGCUCCUGCGGGCUCUGGUGGGGCGGAGGGGAAGAAGGAGGUCUGCUCCUCUAGCCGGCCGUUAGGGUGACUAGGGCUUAGUGAGGCUCCGCGGGGGGUUCCCCUUUUCUGUUGCCCCAGGGCCCUCUGGAUCAGCUGGUUCAUUAUACCCCCCGACCAGCAGCGCGGUGCCCCCCCUGCGCCCCGGGGGCUUCAACGAGCUGCGACGACUCCUGGUGCUGGAGGGUGUGCGGGUGCUUGGGGGACCCUGAGUUUGAGGGCGUCGCGCUGGGAGAGAGGGGGGACCGUGAGGCGCGGGUGUUUUGGGAAGAGCCGCGGGGGGCGGGGCGUCGUGUUUCAGGCAGAGGGGGCUGCGCCCGCUGCUGAUUGGUGGCCGCGGUUGCCAUGGCGGCGGCCGGGCUGCGCUUAUAAGCGCUGUCGCGGGGCGGCGGGGCUCACCUGCCCCCGCGCUCCCUGUGCCCUUCUCUCGCGCGGUGCUGUGUGCCCACUCAGGACAGCGACGGACCGUGUCCCCGGGAUCAGCCGCUCACCUUUGCGUUCUUGUGGUCUUUGGUCAGUUAGCGAUCUGCGCCAUGGCUCUGGACGGCUGCGGCUACUGCUGUAAGGUCAUCCUCAUCAUCUUCAACAUCUUCUUCGCGCUCGCGGUGGAUUCGCGUGUCCGUUCCACGCCCCUUUCCGCAGCCUUGCCCCCACGCGGCCGGGGCCUGGCUCUGGUUCCGAGGGUCCAGCCGGGCGUAGCUGGGCUGGACACCCGCGAGGGGACGGCUGGUCGCAACGGCCCGCCCGUGUCAGCCGAGGCGUGGGCGUGGACGGGCUGUGGGCUGGCUUCGGCGAGUUAGUUUCGUUUUUCCCUCAAAGUUUCGUUUUACCCUCAAAGUUUCGUUUCCUCAGAAAUCGCCGCCGCCGCGGCCGGGCUCGGUUUUGCCCAGGGUUACCGCGAUUUCAUUAGAUACCGGUCCAAACACCACUGGACGCGCUGGUGCCCAGUGACCCCCGGCUCGGUCCAGACGCGCUGGUGCCCAGUGACCCCCGGCUCGGCCCAGACGCGCUGGUGCCCACUGCGCUGGGCUCGGUCCAGACGCGCUGGUGC
Molecule: long non-coding RNA, 1263 nt
Filed under: Lepisosteus oculatus (spotted gar)
Lineage: Eukaryota; Metazoa; Chordata; Actinopteri; Semionotiformes; Lepisosteidae
Description: lncRNA (ENSLOCG00000022247.1)
Source: RNAcentral